UACGAAGGGGGCUAGCGUUGCUCGGAAUCACUGGGCGUAAAGCGCACGUAGGCGGCUUUUUAAGUCAGGGGUGAAAUCCUGGAGCUCAACUCCAGAACUGCCUUUGAUACUGGAAAGCUUGAGUCCGGGAGAGGUGAGUGGAACUCCGAGUGUAGAGGUGAAAUUCGUAGAUAUUCGGAAGAACACCGGUGGCGAAGGCGGCCCACUGGAUCGGUACUGACGCUGAGGUGCGAAAGCGUGGGGAGCAAACAGG
This 253-nucleotide ribosomal RNA is filed under the name uncultured bacterium. Its description in RNAcentral is "partial 16S ribosomal RNA". It matches the Rfam family "Bacterial small subunit ribosomal RNA", at positions 524 to 776 of the family's 1533-position model. The record is from RNAcentral.